AAUACUCGGCAUUGCAGAGACAUAAAUGCGAUGGCGCGACGUGCGCGGAGUGGCCGCGCGAUUAUAAGCUAAAUCAAUCGCGGCGAAAGGACAAU
Molecule: non-coding RNA, 95 nt
Submitted as: unclassified sequences
Source: Rfam